GACGAACGCUGGCGGCGUGCCUAACACAUGCAAGUCGAGCGAGUGAAUCUCCUUCGGGAGUGAAGCUAGCGGCGGACGGGUGAGUAACACGUGGGCAACCUGCCUCAUAGAGGGGAAUAGCCUUUCGAAAGGAAGAUUAAUACCGCAUAAGAUUGUAGCUUCGCAUGAAGUAGCAAUUAAAGGAGCAAUCCGCUAUGAGAUGGGCCCGCGGCGCAUUAGCUAGUUGGUGAGGUAACGGCUCACCAAGGCGACGAUGCGUAGCCGACCUGACGAGGGUGAUCGGCCACAUUGGGACUGAGACACGGCCCAGACUCCUACGGGAGGCAGCAGUGGGGAAUAUUGCACAAUGGGGGAAACCCUGAUGCAGCAACGCCGCGUGAGUGAUGACGGCCUCGG
Molecule: ribosomal RNA, 396 nt
Filed under: uncultured bacterium
Lineage: Bacteria
Description: bacterial SSU rRNA
Rfam family: Bacterial small subunit ribosomal RNA
Source: RNAcentral